GCCGGGUGCAGUGGCUCACACCUGUAAUCGCAGCACUCUGGGAGGCCGAGGUGGGCAGAUCACCUGAGGUCAGGAGUUUGAGACCAGCCUGGAGCCUGGCCAACAUGGCGAAACCCUGUCUCUACUAAAAAUACAAAAAUUAGCUGGUGUGGUGGCAUGCGCCUGCCAGCUACUUGGGAGUAAUCCCAGCUACUCAGGAGGCUGAGGCUGGAGAAUUGCUUGAACCCAGGAGGCAGAGGCUGCAGUGAGCUGCGAUCAUGCCACUGCACUCCAGCCUGGGCCACAGAGUGAGACUCCGUACCCCCACCCCCAACAAAAAAGAAAAAAAGAAAAAGAAAAAUUAGCAUUCCCCCCUCCCCUCUGAUAGCUGGGUCCACCUUCCUGGCCCCACAUCUUAGUGUUGGAUGGCGCUGUGCUUGCUGACCACGUGUCACUUGCACACUUUCCCCAGCUUCAGUCUGCCAGGAUAGGGUGACAGCAUGGGGCCCAGGACCCACAGGGAGGAGACCAGCAGAGGCAGGUGGGAUCAGGACUUGACCUUCCUCUUUCAAUAACUCUAAAUUAGUUCUUGCUACUUUCACUCGUUCAGGUUGACAGACUCCCUGAGACAUGCAGACGUGACUUCCUAAGCAUCAUUCGUGCGUCCAUCCCAGCCCUGCCGGACCAUGUCUGACCUGGGCUCAGGAUGGCACUGGCACCCAGGGGUGAUUUAGGGGUUAGGUUUCAGCGGGCUCUACCUGAGGUGGGCUCAGGUCACAGAGCACAGCCAGGAAGGAGAACCAAGCUCUUCUAGAAGUGUAUGGAAAGAGUUCCAGGAGGAAGAGCUGCCAGGCUGGGCCUGGAGUUGGCCAGGAUCAAGGCUGGCUGCAACAUUUAUCCAGGCCCAAACCCAACAUAGACGGAGUCCAGCCCCACCAGGCAUGGUAGCAUUUUUUGUGAUCUGGAGUAAGACCCUCUACUGGCAACUUCACUGGAAAUUCCCUGCAGCAGAAGCCCAUUCUCCACACAACGGUGGACUCAGAACGCCCAUGUGCAAGGCUGGCUAUGGACGUGGAGUGGGGUCCUCAGAAGCCCCGAGCUUCCUCUGAAGAGCCUCUUAGAUCCAGGCUUUGGGGCACACACUUGGAGAAUCUCUGCUUUAGCAGGAGGGUUCUAAGGAAGGAAUGAACCUUGUUGGACUCCAGGGGGUCAAGGGGAAUCCUGGAUGUUAGCAUGAGAGCCCCAGAUGAGCCUGAGCUUCUGUUCAGUCCUGCCACCCAUCCUGCCUGGAGAGCCUGGGUCCAGGAAAGAGACCUCUGGAGGUCCUUGCUUUUGCAAAGGAAGCAGUUUUUCACACAGUAGUCCAGCUUUUGGAUGGGGUGAGAAAGAAGGCAAUGGAGAAAGGAAAGGUCUGCAUUUCUGGAAUGACAAAGCUUUAAGUCACAAUGAUUGUAGCUUCCAAGUAGACCACUGAGGCCUCUCUCUGCCUUGACAUUUCAUCUACAGCUUCUGUGGCCAACUACUAGCGUCCAGUGUUGUUUCAGUUGAGAUUCCUGAUGAGCCCAGUUUUAUCUUUUUGCACCCUCCUUCAAUUUCCUUGUGUGUAAAAUGGGAUGACCAUCUCCUCGGUAAGAUGUCAGGUGGUGAGCACAGUGCCUGCAUGUGGUAAGUGCUAAAGAAAAGUAAUUAGAAUCAGUAAAACUGAAGAACUCUUUAGAAAAAGCAGUCACCUGUGCUGGCUGAGCUUGUGUAAAAGAAAGAUUUACUGACUCAGUUUUAAUUUCUGUGAAUACACCUUUGUGUAGUGAGGAGCAAACCAAGAGGACUGAGCCUUGGGCCUGCCAGCAACUCACCUGAUGCCUUUCUCUGGGCCUCAGUUUUUCUCUCUCUGAAGUGGAUGUGUGUCAUAUGACCCAGAGAUUUCUAAUCUAUCUUCUCCAGCUAGAUUCUUGCAUUAGGGGUGAACUUGUUCAUUGGGUAGAGUUGCUUCCCCUGGUUUGGAGAGGCAGCAUUUGCAGCCCCAGAGGCUAUCAGGGAUAAGGGUGUUGGGCCAAGAAUAGCUGGGCCAGGAGCAAUAAACUGUUAAGGGCUUGAUGAGUCUGAGCAACUGACCAAUAACAUCCAAUGCCCCUGGAACCUGGCAACUCCAACUUUAGGUGGCAGAGGAUUAAACACAUUUUGCCUCAAGGUGAGUCUGUACAGGUCCCCAGUGGUCUCUGGGCCUGCCUUCCAGCUCUGUGAGGAACAGGAGCUGAGCAAGUGCCUACAGUCACCACGCUGCCUACAGUGUCCAGGGGAUUCUAGCCUGGAUAGGAAAACUGGCUUGGCUGAGUGGACUGUCCCAGGGUGAGGAUCUGGGAAUGAGCAUAUGGGGAUGGCAGACUACCACACGCCCUGGAAGCUGGAGAGGAAGGAGGCACCCAGGACAGAAGGUGAGGUUGCCCCAGGUCAACAACUUCCAGAUGAGAUCCACCUUGAGUCAUGAUCCUCAGAUGCCAAGCCACAGGAACCUCAUCACCCACCUCAUCAUCCAAACUGGAACUUGAUGGAAAUCAUUCCACAACUAUGUGUUGGUGGGUUGUCUUCUUAAUACUUGGAAGGAGGUCUUAAUACUUAUCCCACUGAAAUCAUGCUACCUACACCUAGCAAAACAUACAUCAAAGAAAAACUUCUAACUGGGUAUAUCACAUGCCCACUGUACUAACACACUGGAGAACCCCCAACAACAGGAGGCCCGGGGAGAGUCCCUGACCCACAGGGACUUCAGGUCAAGACCACACCCACCAUCCUUUCAAGGUGGAGACAGUCCCCGUAGGAACCAAACUGAUGUAUAAUAAAACUCAUCAUUUAUUUCUCUUCUCCCUACAGCAUUUCAGCCAGUGAAUGGUAGAAUUUUGCAGGAAUAAGAAUUAGAGGUGUAGAGGGUUUUGAGAUGCGGGGUGGGUCAGGUUUCACUACUCAAGGACCCUAAGACAGGUUUUUGGAAGAAGUGUGUGUGUGUGUGUGUGUGUGUGUGUGUGUGUGUGUAGGACCACAUUCAGCCACUCCCAUGGGCAAGUAUGACAUAUGACCACUCCUCUCUUCUUGCCCCCUGGCCUCCUUAACCUAGAAGUCACCUUGCUGGCUCAUGGGAUUCCUUGAUACUUCUGCAAUCCAGCUUCUCCGCUCCAACAGGCUGUCCCUGCCCAGCUGAGCUGGCCCACCCAGGGUUCCCUCACAGUGCUAUGGGCCUCCACUGGCCCCCUCUGCACAGCCCAUCCUCUCCAAUCUUUCUUUCCAAAGUGAAAUCUACCAAUGCUUACUCUUUGGCUCUGGCCACAUGAGAGACAGACAGACAUACAGACACACACUUCUUUCUUUUUGCCUUGGCUCACCACUAUUCAAUGCCUGGAAGCCUUAUUUUCUCCCUUGGGAACCUCCACUCAGUCUUUACAACUGUCAUCUCCUCCAGGAAGUCAUCCCUGCUCUUCUUCC
This 3453-nucleotide long non-coding RNA is filed under the name Homo sapiens (human). RNAcentral's name for it is "HSALNT0165694". Lineage: Eukaryota; Metazoa; Chordata; Mammalia; Primates; Hominidae. The record is from RNAcentral.